GGUUCUGUAGCUCAGUCGGUAGAGCAGCGGAUUGAAGCUCCGUGUGCGCCUGUUCAAUUCAGGCCGGGACCA
This 72-nucleotide transfer RNA is filed under the name Caudoviricetes sp. RNAcentral's name for it is "tRNA-Phe". It matches the Rfam family "tRNA". From Rfam's summary of the family: Transfer RNA (tRNA) molecules are approximately 80 nucleotides in length. Their secondary structure includes four short double-helical elements and three loops (D, anti-codon, and T loops). Further hydrogen bonds mediate the characteristic L-shaped molecular structure. tRNAs have two regions of fundamental functional importance: the anti-codon, which is responsible for specific mRNA codon recognition, and the 3' end, to which the tRNAs corresponding amino acid is attached (by aminoacyl-tRNA synthetases). tRNAs cope with the degeneracy of the genetic code in two manners: having more than one tRNA (with a specific anti-codon) for a particular amino acid; and 'wobble' base-pairing, i.e. permitting non-standard base-pairing at the 3rd anti-codon position. Lineage: Duplodnaviria; Heunggongvirae; Uroviricota; Caudoviricetes. The record is from RNAcentral.